UUUGUGAAAGCGACAACACGUUUCAAUUUGUGAUCCUUGUGUCCAUAUUGCAGAGCCCUGCGAUGAGGUAGCGACUUGUCCAGGGUGUACCCCGCCUUCCGCCCGAUUGUAGCUGAGAUAGGCUCCAGCGCCCCCCGCGACCCCAAAGGGAAUAAGCGGUAGAAAAUGGAUGGAUGGAUGUUCAUCAGAGACAUACAGGAUGUCGGAAUUUCAAAGUUCCUAGUCCGAAGUUUUAACUGGAACGCCCAACGAGGUUGAAUUUCCUACUCGGAAAGUUGAAAAUUCGUCACCACACCCGAGUUGGCUUCAAAGAUAUGGCUGUUCUGAGUGUAAACAAUAAUAUAAGCUUCUAUAAUAUCUGUUAUUAGCACUCCUAUUUUUUGUCGCACUGUAUCCGCCAUCUAUGCUGUUUUGUUUGACAUUUUUUAUAGUAAUAUUACGGUAGUGUAAAUGACAUGUUUUCAUGUGUUUUAUAUAUUCUACAUUGCUAGUAACAGCGUCUAUGUUUCCUCUUCACCCACUGUGUUUAAAGGUUGCCCGAAGGAAUGCAUAUUUUUCCAUAAGUUGUUUAUAUUCGGUAAAGGCAAACACAUGAAUAGCUUUCAUGGAUGUGGCCAUAUUGGUUUCCGACCUUGUAACUAGAACACUCAUAACUCGGCUGUGACGUCAUUCCCAGGUUCGACUUUCAACUUCUGAGUUUAAUUAAACGCAUUGGAUCAUUUCUAAUUACUGGUUUACAUGCCAAUUAUGUCUA
Molecule: long non-coding RNA, 754 nt
Organism: Nerophis lumbriciformis (worm pipefish)
Lineage: Eukaryota; Metazoa; Chordata; Actinopteri; Syngnathiformes; Syngnathidae
Source: RefSeq, a predicted model, not a curated record